RNAcentral lists this ribosomal RNA (428 nucleotides) under uncultured bacterium. RNAcentral's name for it is "partial 16S ribosomal RNA". It matches the Rfam family "Bacterial small subunit ribosomal RNA", at positions 354 to 796 of the family's 1533-position model. The record is from RNAcentral.
GUGGGGUAUAUUGGGCAAUGGGCGAAAGCCUGACCCAGCAACGCCGCGUGAAGGAAGAAGGCCCUCGGGUUGUAAACUUCUUUUAAGAGGGACGAAAGAAAUGACGGUACCUCUUGAAUAAGCCACGGCUAACUACGUGCCAGCAGCCGCGGUAAUACGUAGGUGGCGAGCGUUAUCCGGAUUUACUGGGUGUAAAGGGCGUGUAGGCGGGAGUGCAAGUCAGAUGUGAAAAUUAUGGGCUCAACCCAUAACCUGCAUUUGAAACUGUUCUUCGUGAGUGAUGGAGAGGCAGGCGGAAUUCCGUGUGUAGCGGUGAAAUGCGUAGAUAUACGGAGGAACACCAGUGGCGAAGGCGGCCUGCUGGACAUUAACUGACGCUGAGGCGCGAAAGCGUGGGGAGCAAACAGGAUUAGAUACCCCUGUAGUCC